AUGGCGACCAAGAGGAGCGUGGGCACCCUCGGGGAGGCGGAUCUCAAGGGGAAGAAGGUGUUCGUGCGCGCCGACCUCAACGUGCCGCUCGACGACGCCCAGAAGAUCACCGACGACACCCGCAUCCGCGCAUCCAUCCCCACCAUCAAGUACCUCCUCGAGAAGGGCGCCAAGGUCAUCCUGGCCAGCCAUCUGGGCCGCCCAAAAGGUGUCACCCCCAAGUUCAGCUUGAAGCCUCUUGUUCCACGCUUGUCUGAGCUCCUUGGACUUGAAGUUGUGAUGGCCCCUGACUGCAUCGGUGAAGAAGUUGAGAAAUUGGCUGCUGCUUUGCCAGAUGGUGGUGUUCUACUCCUAGAGAAUGUUAGAUUCUACAAGGAGGAAGAGAAGAACGAUCCUGAGUUUGCUAAGAAGCUUGCAUCAGUUGCUGACCUUUAUGUAAAUGAUGCUUUCGGCACUGCACAUAGGGCUCAUGCUUCAACCGAGGGUGUAACCAAGUUUUUGAUGCCUUCUGUUGCUGGCUUCCUCAUGCAGAAGGAACUUGACUAUCUUGUCGGAGCUGUUGCCAACCCAAAGAAGCCAUUUGCUGCCAUUGUUGGUGGAUCCAAGGUCUCAUCUAAGAUUGGUGUGAUCGAGUCUCUGCUGGCCAAGGUUGAUAUCCUCAUCCUUGGUGGUGGUAUGAUCUUCACAUUCUACAAGGCCCAGGGAUUAGCUGUUGGAAAGUCUCUUGUGGAGGAAGACAAACUUGAACUGGCAACUUCACUGAUCGAAACGGCAAAGUCCAAGGGUGUUAAGCUCUUGCUUCCGACUGAUGUCGUUGUGGCUGACAAGUUUGCAGCAGAUGCCGAAAGCAAGAUUGUUCCUGCCACUGCUAUCCCUGAUGGUUGGAUGGGUCUGGAUGUUGGCCCAGAUUCCAUCAAGACUUUCGCAGAAGCCCUGGACACCACCAAGACUGUUAUCUGGAACGGUCCUAUGGGAGUCUUUGAGUUUGAGAAGUUUGCCGCAGGCACUGAUGUUAGUACAAUAUCACAUAAAUGUACAUUCAUCUAUCUCGUAUUCGUUGUUGUUGCUAAUGACAACUGUCCUUUUUCUCAGGCAAUCGCGAAGCAGUUGGCUGAGCUUACUGGGAAGGGUGUCACGACCAUCAUUGGUGGAGGUGACUCCGUUGCUGCUGUUGAGAAGGCUGGGCUGGCCGACAAGAUGAGCCACAUUUCGACCGGCGGUGGCGCGAGCUUGGAGCUGCUGGAAGGCAAGCCCCUCCCAGGUGUUCUUGCCCUUGACGAGGCGUAG
This 1287-nucleotide ribosomal RNA is filed under the name Triticum aestivum (bread wheat). RNAcentral describes it as "partial small subunit ribosomal RNA". Lineage: Eukaryota; Viridiplantae; Streptophyta; Magnoliopsida; Poales; Poaceae. The record is from RNAcentral.